UAAGGAAUAUUGGUCAAUGGGCGCAAGCCUGAACCAGCCAUGCCGCGUGCAGGAUGAAGGCUCUAUGGGUCGUAAACUGCUUUUAUACGGGAAGAAACCCCUCCACGUGUGGAGGGUUGACGGUACUGUAAGAAUAAGGAUCGGCUAACUCCGUGCCAGCAGCCGCGGUAAUACGGAGGAUCCAAGCGUUAUCCGGAUUUAUUGGGUUUAAAGGGUGCGUAGGCGGACUUGUAAGUCAGUGGUGAAAGCCCGCAGCUUAACUGUGGAACUGCCAUUGAUACUGCUAGUCUUGAGUAUAGUUGAGGUGGGCGGAAUGUGUCAUGUAGCGGUGAAAUGCUUAGAUAUGACACAGAACACCGAUUGCGAAGGCAGCUCGCUAAACUAUAACUGACGCUGAGGCACGAAAGUGUGGGUAGCAAACAGG
This 424-nucleotide ribosomal RNA is filed under the name uncultured bacterium. Its description in RNAcentral is "bacterial SSU rRNA". It matches the Rfam family "Bacterial small subunit ribosomal RNA", at positions 355 to 776 of the family's 1533-position model. The record is from RNAcentral.